GUCCUUUAGAUAUUAAUUUAAGGUCUAACCUGCCCACUGAAAUAUUUUAAAUGGCCGCAGUAAUUUGACUGUGCAAAGGUAGCAUAAUCAUUAGUUUUUUAAUUAAAAGCUUGUAUGAAAGGUUGGACGAAGUAAAAUCUGUCUCUAAUUAAAUUAAUUUAGAAUUUAACUUUUAAGUUAAAAGGCUUAAAUUUAACUAAAAGACGAGAAGACCCUAUAGAUCUUUAUAUUUUUAUUAUUAAAUUUAAUUAAGAAUUUUUAAAAUUUUAUUAAUUUAAAUAUUUUAUUGGGGUAAUAUAAAGAUUUAAAUAAUUCUUUUUUUUUAUUAACAUUAAUUUAUGAUUUUUAUGAUCCAAUUAUAUUGAUUAUAAGAUUAAGUUACCUUAGGGAUAACAGCGUAAUUUUUUUAGAGAGUUCUUAUCGAUAAAAAAGUUUGCGACCUCGAUGUUGGAUUAAAGAUUAUUUUAGGUGCAGAAGUUUAAAAAUUUUGGUCUGUUCGACCAUUAAAUCUUUACAUGAUCUGAGUUCAGACCGGUGUAAGCCAGGUCGGUUUCUAUCUUUAGUAAAUUAAAAUAUUUCAGUACGAAAGGACCAAUUAUUUAAUAUAAAUAUUUAUAUUUUGAUUAUUAUUAA
Molecule: ribosomal RNA, 633 nt
Filed under: Nebria edwardsi
Lineage: Eukaryota; Metazoa; Arthropoda; Insecta; Coleoptera; Carabidae
Description: partial large subunit ribosomal RNA
Rfam family: Bacterial large subunit ribosomal RNA (bases 389-548)
Source: RNAcentral